RNAcentral lists this ribosomal RNA (256 nucleotides) under uncultured bacterium. Its description in RNAcentral is "partial 16S ribosomal RNA". It matches the Rfam family "Bacterial small subunit ribosomal RNA", at positions 524 to 776 of the family's 1533-position model. The record is from RNAcentral.
UACGGGGGGAGCAAGCGUUGUUCGGAUUUACUGGGCGUAAAGGGCGCGUAGGCGGCCAGCACAAGUCAGUUGUGAAAUCUCCGAGCUUAACUCGGAAAGGUCAACUGAUACUGUGCGGCUAGAGUGGCGGAAGGGGCAACUGGAAUUCUUGGUGUAGCGGUGAAAUGCGUAGAUAAUCAAGAGGAACACCUGCGGCGAAGGCGGGUUGCUGGGCCGACACUGACGCUGAGGCGCGAAAGCUAGGGGAGCGAACGGG